This is a long non-coding RNA of Pistacia vera, 2457 nucleotides long. RefSeq lists it as uncharacterized. The record is from RefSeq and is a predicted model, not a curated record. Lineage: Eukaryota; Viridiplantae; Streptophyta; Magnoliopsida; Sapindales; Anacardiaceae. The transcript is spliced from 3 exons.
AAACCCAAACGGGGAAUCCCCAAAUUCCUCAUUUGGGGAACGGGUUUUUUUUCAGAGAUUUUCCGAAUGAGCUUCGAGCCAGGAUCGGAGAAUUUCCUCGGGUUUUUGAGUGGUCUCCGUGCCGCCCCGGCCCGUGCCCAUCACUACCCUAAACAUUUGCUUACCUAAUAUUUCAUUAAGGCAAAAGUUUCCCACCCAUUUUUCAUUAAAGCAAAAGUUUUCCAUCCAUUUUUCAUUCUCUCUACCCUAAAUUAUUUUCCCCUUUUCAUUCUCUACAUCUCGCUAAGCUUUUCUCUUCGAUUUUUUGUUCUCACCUUAAAAUCCUUCUCCGAUCUUCUUCGUUCUCACCCGAUUAUAAGACAAGCUCUGGUCUUCGAGUCCGUGACUUCAGUCACUCACCAAUUCGUCAUUCUUCAAGCUCUUUUCAUUCAAAGUUAGGUACUGCUGUAAUUUUGUUUUACUGGGUGGAUUAGGGUAGGGGUUCGUAACUUCAGGAGAUACAUGCGAGUUUGGGGCAUCAAGAGACUUCUAACAUGAAACAUUAACCAAUUUUGAACAGCCAUAAAUCUUGAGCAGACAAGUUGCAACUACUCUUCGACAAGUAGAGAAGGAGAGAAAGAAAUGGAGGCAGUGGUAACAGCACAACAACUGGCGGCUCUUUGUGGGUCUCUUCGUAAAGCCUCCUUCAACUGCGACCUCAUUCACUCUGUUAUGUAGUUGGUGAAGGACUCCGUGAAAGGCAUAGAGAUAGAGCACAUUGACAUUGCACCAUUGCCAAUGCUCAACACUAAUCUCGAAGUUAAUGGAACUUACCCUCAUGUUGUGGAAGCGUUUCAUCAAAAGAUUCUUAAGGCUGAUUAUUAUCUCUUUGCUUCUCCUGAGUAUAAUUACUUUGUUUCUGGUACUCUCUUGAUACCCGUUUGCCUAUAUUAUUAUGUUUUGCAAUGAUUUAGUCUGUUGUGAAAUGGGAUUUUUAGGAAAAGUUCAUUUAGUUUAUGACUUGUUUGUUUAAAAUCCUGAGAUAGUUCUUGACUUAUAGGAGAUUCCAGCAUUAUGCAAAUUUAUGAAACCUAAAAUGGGUGCAUUCUGACAAAUACUGAGAAAGAUUUUGGUUUGUUUUCAGUAUUUUAUGACAUGUUUCUUUUUACUGAAGUUUGAAAGUAGUAGAGUAAGUUGGAUAGAAAUUUUCUAUAAUGAAAUUAAUUUUUUUAAAGUAUCAUGUGGAAGAACAAAGAUUAAACAAGAAAAGUAGAAUUGAGGGCAUAAGAUCUUUUACUGAACUGAAGACACAUUGUCGGUUCUAGUUGGAAGUUGCAAGUGAGUGGACAAGGUAUCAAAUUUGUGCCACUAGGACCAUAUCCGGAGUUGGGUUCUUUGUCAUCAUUUAUGGGGCCUUGUGGGUGAUAUUUUGAGUGUUCACAUGUAUGGAUGACUUGUAUUUCUUAAUUUGUAAUAGUACAUUGUGAGGAAAAUCACAAGGAUACCAUUGACCUUUAAUUGGGAAUCGUGUUGUCUUGGUAAUGAUUAUAACUCAAUGAGUUGGCUCAUAAGUUGAGUACCUUUAAUUCGUGAGUCACACAUGAUUGUUGAGUGGUGAAAAUGCAGAUUUAUUUGGUGAUUUGGAGGUGAAAUUGUAAGGAAUUCAAGAUUUAACGCAUUAUUUUGGAUGAGUUUCCUUAUUUGUUUUGUUAUCUUCCAGAAUCACGGGUUUUGUUGUGUUUUCAGGUGUUUAGAUGCAAAAAGAUGAAUUAUUCAUGCUUGUUUGGUGUUCGGACAUCCUAGACUCGUCAAGUGCAGAUAAAUCAAGGCGAGCGGAAAAAGUGAAGUUCUACAACCGAGUCGCAGCACACUUUCUGAGCCACGGCGUGAAGACGACGCAACUCAUAUUGCACCCCAGCAAAGAAUAAUUGCGCUGCAGCACAAAGUCGACGAAAUCCAAAUUAGCCGUGGCGUAAUUCAUCCACGCCACAACGUGAUAGGGUUUUUGUCGAAGGAAAAAUCGCUUCGAGCUAUGCUGCAACGCCAUUCAACUGCGUUGUGGCGCAAAUCAUGAUAUUUAGAAAAAAAACUCCGCAUUUUCCAGCCUAUUUUUGGCGACCCAUAUUUGCAAGUUGCUCUAGUAAAUGAUUGAUUUAUGUAUGUAAGAUGCCCUCGACAGGUUUAAGUUGGUUUGUGUUCGUUUUUGGUACUUUUGUGCAUAAUGGGUUUUUGUUAUUUAGACUAUGCUACACGCCACUAGCUAGUUUAGAUGAUUAAAACACUAGGUUGAUCCGGUUGGCCACGGCAUGACCUUACCUUGGUAAGUAUCGACCCUAAGAUUUGGAUCGAGAAACAUCAGUUAGAUUAAUAACAUAAAGUAUAAUAAUUAUGGUGAAGUUGGAUACAUUAGACCAUUUCUCAUUGUUUGAUCAUUUGUUUAGAUCUCAUUUUUAUCUUAGUUGUUAUUUUUAGUAUUUU